This 307-nucleotide unclassified non-coding RNA is filed under the name plant metagenome. RNAcentral's name for it is "partial contains 5.8S ribosomal RNA, internal transcribed spacer 2, and large subunit ribosomal RNA". The stretch from base 1 to 105 matches the Rfam family "5.8S ribosomal RNA", at positions 51 to 154 of the family's 154-position model. The record is from RNAcentral.
AAAUGCGCUAAGUAAUGCGCAUUGCAGAAUUUCCGUGAGUCAUCGAAUCUUUGAACGCACAUUGCGCCCAUUGGUAUUCCGAUGGGCAUGCCUGUCCGAGCGUCAUUUCAACCAUCAAGUCCCCGGGCUUGUGUUGGGGACCUGCGGCUGCCGCAGGCCCUGAAAAGCAGUGGCGGGCUCGCUGUCACACCGGGCGUAGUAGAUCUCAUCUCGCCCAGGGCGUGCUGCGGGUUCCGGCCGUUAAAAGACCCCCCGUCUUACCCAAGGUUGACCUCGGAUCAGGUAGGAAGACCCGCUGAACUUAAGC